UAUGCCUACGGGACGCAGCAGCGAGGGAUAUUGGGCAAUGGGGGAAACCCUGAACCAGCCAUGCCGCGUGCAGGAAGACGGCUCUAUGAGUUGUAAACUGCUUUUGUACAAGGGUAAACCUGAAUACGUGUAUUCAGCUGAAAGUACUGUACGAAUAAGGAUCGGCUAACUCCGUGCCAGCAGCCGCGGUAAUACGGAGGAUCCAAGCGUUAUCCGGAUUUAUUGGGUUUAAAGGGUGCGUAGGCGGAUUGAUAAGUUAGAGGUGAAAUGUCCGAGCUUAACUCGGGAACUGCCUCUAAUACUGU
RNAcentral lists this ribosomal RNA (305 nucleotides) under uncultured bacterium. RNAcentral describes it as "bacterial SSU rRNA". It matches the Rfam family "Bacterial small subunit ribosomal RNA", at positions 334 to 636 of the family's 1533-position model. The record is from RNAcentral.